RNAcentral lists this transfer RNA (65 nucleotides) under uncultured Breznakia sp. It matches the Rfam family "tRNA". From Rfam's summary of the family: Transfer RNA (tRNA) molecules are approximately 80 nucleotides in length. Their secondary structure includes four short double-helical elements and three loops (D, anti-codon, and T loops). Lineage: Bacteria; Bacillati; Bacillota; Erysipelotrichia; Erysipelotrichales; Erysipelotrichaceae. The record is from RNAcentral.
GGCGUAGUAUAAUGGUAGUAUAACGGUCUCCAAAACCGCUGAUGCGGGUUCAAUUCCUGCCGCCC